Non-coding RNA from Chelonoidis abingdonii (Abingdon island giant tortoise), 145 nucleotides. The record is from RefSeq and is a predicted model, not a curated record. NCBI's taxonomy places the organism in Eukaryota, Metazoa, Chordata, Testudines, Testudinidae.
GAAAUUGUUCUACUGUGGCAGAAGAAAUAAGGCUGCCCUCCCUAGAAACCUUCGGCAGAGGAUUGCAGACUACCUUCAAGAAAGUUUCCUUGAGAUCUCCAUGGAGAAUUCACAGGACAUCCUGGUGCACAUAAACAAACUAUUC